AGUGAACGCUGGCGGUAGGCCUAACACAUGCAAGUCGAACGGCAGCACAGUAAGAGCUUGCUCUUACGGGUGGCGAGUGGCGGACGGGUGAGGAAUACAUCGGAAUCUACUUUUUCGUGGGGGAUAACGUAGGGAAACUUACGCUAAUACCGCAUACGACCUACGGGUGAAAGCAGGGGAUCUUCGGACCUUGCGCGAUUGAAUGAGCCGAUGUCGGAUUAGCUAGUUGGCGGGGUAAAGGCCCACCAAGGCGACGAUCCGUAGCUGGUCUGAGAGGAUGAUGAGCCACACUGGAACUGAGACACGGUCCAGACUCCUACGGGAGGCAGCAGUGGGGAAUAUUGGACAAUGGGCGCAAGCCUGAUCCAGCCAUACCGCGUGGGUGAAGAAGGCCUUCGGGUUGUAAAGCCCUUUUGUUGGGAAAGAAAAGCAGCAGGUUAAUACCCCGCUGUUCUGACGGUGCCCAAAGAAUAAGCACCGGCUAACUUCGUG
RNAcentral lists this ribosomal RNA (492 nucleotides) under uncultured bacterium. RNAcentral's name for it is "partial 16S ribosomal RNA". It matches the Rfam family "Bacterial small subunit ribosomal RNA", at positions 29 to 507 of the family's 1533-position model. The record is from RNAcentral.